This 440-nucleotide ribosomal RNA is filed under the name uncultured bacterium. RNAcentral describes it as "partial 16S ribosomal RNA". It matches the Rfam family "Bacterial small subunit ribosomal RNA", at positions 338 to 795 of the family's 1533-position model. The record is from RNAcentral.
CCUACGGGAGGCUGCAGUGGGGGAUAUUGCACAAUGGGGGAAACCCUGAUGCAGCGACGCCGCGUGUGGGAAGACGGUCCUCUGGAUUGUAAACCACUGUCCCCAGGGACGAAGAUGACGGUACCUGGGGAGGAAGCUCCGUCUAACUACGUGCCAGCAGCCGCGGUAAUACGUAGGGAGCGAGCGUUGUCCGGAAUUACUGGGUGUAAAGGGAGCGUAGGCGGGGAUGCAAGUUGGGUGUCAAAACUACCGGCUCAACUGGUAGUCGCACUCAAAACUGCAGCUCUUGAGUGAAGUAGAGGCAGGCGGAAUUCCUAGUGUAGCGGUGAAAUGCGUAGAUAUACGGAGGAACACCAGUGGCGAAGGCGGAUUGCUGGACAGUAACUGACGCUGAGGCGCGAAAGCGUGGGGAGCAAACAGGAUUAGAUACCCGAGUAGUC